RNAcentral lists this ribosomal RNA (281 nucleotides) under uncultured Staphylococcus sp. Its description in RNAcentral is "partial 16S ribosomal RNA". It matches the Rfam family "Bacterial small subunit ribosomal RNA", at positions 81 to 355 of the family's 1533-position model. Lineage: Bacteria; Bacillati; Bacillota; Bacilli; Caryophanales; Staphylococcaceae. The record is from RNAcentral.
CUCCUUUGACGUUAGCGGCGGACGGGUGAGUAACACGUGGGUAACCUACCUAUAAGACUGGGAUAACUUAGGGAAACCGGAGCUAAUACCGGAUAAUAUUUCGAACCGCAUGGUUCGAUAGUGAAAGGUGGUUUUGCUAUCACUUAUAGAUGGACCCGCGCCGUAUUAGCUAGUUGGUAAGGUAACGGCUUACCAAGGCGACGAUACGUAGCCGACCUGAGAGGGUGAUCGGCCACACUGGAACUGAGGCACGGUCCAGACUCCUACGGGAGGCAGCAGCC